UACGAAGGGGGCUAGCGUUGCUCGGAAUCACUGGGCGUAAAGGGUGCGUAGGCGGGUCUUUAAGUCAGAGGUGAAAUCCUGGAGCUCAACUCCAGAACUGCCUUUGAUACUGAGGGUCUUGAGUAUGACAGAGGUGAGUGGAACUGCGAGUGUAGAGGUGAAAUUCGUAGAUAUUCGCAAGAACACCAGUGGCGAAGGCGGCUCACUGGGUCAUUACUGACGCUGAGGCACGAAAGCGUGGGGAGCAAACAGGG
This 254-nucleotide ribosomal RNA is filed under the name uncultured bacterium. Its description in RNAcentral is "partial 16S ribosomal RNA". It matches the Rfam family "Bacterial small subunit ribosomal RNA", at positions 524 to 777 of the family's 1533-position model. The record is from RNAcentral.